This 253-nucleotide ribosomal RNA is filed under the name uncultured bacterium. Its description in RNAcentral is "partial 16S ribosomal RNA". It matches the Rfam family "Bacterial small subunit ribosomal RNA", at positions 524 to 776 of the family's 1533-position model. The record is from RNAcentral.
UACAGAGGUCCCAAGCGUUGUUCGGAUUCAUUGGGCGUAAAGAGCACGCAGGCGGUUUGGCAAGUCGGAUGUGAAAACCCGAAGCUCAACUUCGGGCCUGCAUCCGAAACUGCCCGACUAGAGGUAGGUAGGGGAGAUCGGAAUUCCUGGUGUAGCGGUGAAAUGCGCAGAUAUCAGGAGGAACACCGGUGGCGAAGGCGGAUCUCUGGGCCUUACCUGACGCUCAGGUGCGAAAGCUAGGGGAGCGAACGGG